GCGGCCAUGGCGGAAUGGUAGACGCGCUAGUUUCAGACGCUAGUGGGGAGACCCGUGGAAGUUCAAGUCUUCUUGGCCGCACCA
Molecule: transfer RNA, 84 nt
Filed under: Bacilli bacterium
Lineage: Bacteria; Bacillati; Bacillota; Bacilli
Also listed under: 1 other name
Description: tRNA-Leu
Rfam family: tRNA
About the family: Transfer RNA (tRNA) molecules are approximately 80 nucleotides in length. Their secondary structure includes four short double-helical elements and three loops (D, anti-codon, and T loops).
Source: RNAcentral